This 1410-nucleotide ribosomal RNA is filed under the name uncultured bacterium. RNAcentral's name for it is "bacterial SSU rRNA". It matches the Rfam family "Bacterial small subunit ribosomal RNA". The record is from RNAcentral.
AUGAACGCUGGCGGCGUGCUUAACACAUGCAAGUCGAACGAACCUUCGGGUUAGUGGCGGACGGGUGAGUAACGCGUGAGAAUCUGCCCUCAGGAGGGGGAUAACGGCUGGAAACGGCCGCUAAUACCCCAUAUGCCGAGAGGUGAAACGAGUUUUCGCCUGAGGAUGAGCUCGCGUCUGAUUAGCUAGUUGGUGAGGUAAGGGCUCACCAAGGCAUCGAUCAGUAGCUGGUCUGAGAGGAUGAUCAGCCACACUGGGACUGAGACACGGCCCAGACUCCUACGGGAGGCAGCAGUGGGGAAUUUUCCGCAAUGGGCGAAAGCCUGACGGAGCAACGCCGCGUGAGGGAUGAAGGCCUCUGGGCUGUAAACCUCUUUUCUCAAGGAAGAAGAUCUGACGGUACUUGAGGAAUAAGCCACGGCUAAUUCCGUGCCAGCAGCCGCGGUAAUACGGGAGUGGCAAGCGUUAUCCGGAAUUAUUGGGCGUAAAGCGUCCGCAGGCGGCCUUUUAAGUCUGUUGUCAAAGCGUGGAGCUUAACUCCAUUUCGGCAAUGGAAACUGGGAGGCUUGAGUGUGGUAGGGGCAGAGGGAAUUCCCGGUGUAGCGGUGAAAUGCGUAGAUAUCGGGAAGAACACCAGUGGCGAAGGCGCUCUGCUGGGCCCAUAACUGACGCUCAUGGACGAAAGCCAGGGGAGCGAAAGGGAUUAGAUACCCCUGUAGUCCUGGGCCGUAAACGAUGAACACUAGGUGUCGGGGGAAUCGACCCCCUCGGUGUCGUAGCCAACGCGUUAAGUGUUCCGCCUGGGGAGUACGCACGCAAGUGUGAAACUCAAAGGAAUUGACGGGGGCCCGCACAAGCGGUGGAGUAUGUGGUUUAAUUCGAUGCAACGCGAAGAACCUUACCAGGGUUUGACAUCCUGCGAAUCCCUUGGAAACGAGGGAGUGCCUUCGGGAGCGCAGAGACAGGUGGUGCAUGGCUGUCGUCAGCUCGUGUCGUGAGAUGUUGGGUUAAGUCCCGCAACGAGCGCAACCCACGUCUUUAGUUGCCAGCAUUCAGUUGGGCACUCUAGAGAGACCGCCGGUGAUAAACCGGAGGAAGGUGUGGAUGACGUCAAGUCAUCAUGCCCCUUACAUCCUGGGCUACACACGUACUACAAUGCUACGGACAAAGGGCAGCAAACUCGCGAGAGCUAGCAAAUCCCAUAAACCGUGGCUCAGUUCAGAUCGUAGGCUGCAACUCGCCUACGUGAAGGAGGAAUCGCUAGUAAUCGCAGGUCAGCAUACUGCGGUGAAUACGUUCCCGGGCCUUGUACACACCGCCCGUCACACCAUGGAAGUUGGCCACGCCCGAAGCCGUUACUCCAACCCUUGUGGAGGAGGACGUCGAAGGUGGGGCUGAUGACUGGGGUGA